UGUCCAGGGAUGGGAAUCGAACCCACAGUGUAUCGCUUACCGGGCAGAUUCCAUGCCCACUAGGCUACCAUGGUAC
RNAcentral lists this transfer RNA (76 nucleotides) under Cordylochernes scorpioides. Its description in RNAcentral is "tRNA-Thr". Lineage: Eukaryota; Metazoa; Arthropoda; Arachnida; Pseudoscorpiones; Chernetidae. The record is from RNAcentral.